Long non-coding RNA from Oncorhynchus keta (chum salmon), 505 nucleotides. RefSeq lists it as uncharacterized. The transcript has 4 exons. NCBI's taxonomy places the organism in Eukaryota, Metazoa, Chordata, Actinopteri, Salmoniformes, Salmonidae. The record is from RefSeq and is a predicted model, not a curated record.
UACAGUAGUUACAUGGGCAGUAUAGUAUAGGCCCCAGUGUGUUAUACAGUAGUUACAUGGGGAGUAUAGUAUAGGUCCCAGUGUUAUACAGUAGUUACAUUGGGAGUAUAGUAUAGGUCCCAGUGUUAUACAGUAGAUACAUGGGGAUUAUAGUAUAGUAUAGGUCCCAGUGUUAUACAGUAGUUACAUGAGGAGUAUAGUAUAGGUCCCAGUGUGUUAUACAGUAGAUACAUGGGGAUUAUAGUAUAGUAUAGGUCCCAGUGUUAUACAGUAGUUACAUGGGGAGUAUAGUAUAGUAUAGGUCCCAGUGUUAUACAGUAGUUACAUGGGGAGUAUAGUAUAGGUCCCAGUGUUAUACAGUAGUUACAUGGGGAGUAUAGUAUAGGUCCCAGUGUUAUACAGUAGCUACAAUGGGAGUAUAGUAUAGGUCCCAGUGUUAUACAGUAGUUACAUGGGGAGUAUAGUAUAGGUCCCAGUGUUAUACAGUAGUUACAUUGGGAGUAUA